RNAcentral lists this ribosomal RNA (490 nucleotides) under uncultured bacterium. RNAcentral describes it as "partial 16S ribosomal RNA". It matches the Rfam family "Bacterial small subunit ribosomal RNA", at positions 30 to 507 of the family's 1533-position model. The record is from RNAcentral.
AUUGAACGCUGGCGGCAGGCCUAACACAUGCAAGUCGAACGGUAACAGGAAGAAGCUUGCUUCUUUGCUGACGAGUGGCGGACGGGUGAGUAAUGUCUGGGAAACUGCCUGAUGGAGGGGGAUAACUACUGGAAACGGUAGCUAAUACCGCAUAACGUCGCAAGACCAAAGAGGGGGACCUUCGGGCCUCUUGCCAUCGGAUGUGCCCAGAUGGGAUUAGCUAGUAGGUGGGGUAACGGCUCACCUAGGCGACGAUCCCUAGCUGGUCUGAGAGGAUGACCAGGCCCACUGGGACUGAGACACGGUCCAGACUCCGACGGGAGGCAGCAGUGGGGAAUAGUGCACAAUGGGCGCAAGCCUGAUGCAGCCAUGCCGCGUGUAUGAAGAAGGCCUUCGGGUUGUAAAGUACUUUCAGCGGGGAGGAAGGGAGUAAAGUUAAUACCUUUGCUCAUUGACGUUACCCGCAGAAGAAGCACCGGCUAACUCCGUG